GUGCCAGCCGCCGCGGUAAUACGGAGGGUGCGAGCGUUAAUCGGAAUUACUGGGCGUAAAGGGCACGCAGGCGGUUAAUUAAGUUGGAUGUGAAAUCCCCGGGCUUAACCUGGGAAUGGCAUUCAAGACUGGUUAGCUAGAGUCUUGUAGAGGGGGGUAGAAUUCCAUGUGUAGCGGUGAAAUGCGUAGAGAUGUGGAGGAAUACCGGUGGCGAAGGCGGCCCCCUGGACAAAGACUGACGCUCAUGUGCGAAAGCGUGGGGAGCAAACAGGAUUAGAUACCCUGGUAGUCCACGCUGUAAACGAUGUCGAUUUGGAGGUUGUGGUCAAGAACUGUGGCCUCCGGAGCUAACGCGUUAAAUCGACCGCCUGGGGAGUACGGCCGCAAGGUUAAAACUUAAAGGAAUUGACGG
This 412-nucleotide ribosomal RNA is filed under the name Arsenophonus endosymbiont of Bemisia tabaci. Its description in RNAcentral is "bacterial SSU rRNA". It matches the Rfam family "Bacterial small subunit ribosomal RNA", at positions 505 to 916 of the family's 1533-position model. Lineage: Bacteria; Pseudomonadati; Pseudomonadota; Gammaproteobacteria; Enterobacterales; Morganellaceae. The record is from RNAcentral.